AUUGAACGCUGGCGGCGUGCUUAACACAUGCAAGUCGAUCGGUAACAGGUGUAGCAAUACAUGCUGACGAGAGGCGGACGGGUGAGUAAUGCUUGGGAAUCUGCCUAUUAGUGGGGGACAACCCGGGGAAACUCGGGCUAAUACCGCAUACGCUCUACGGAGGAAAGCCGGGGACCGCAAGGCCUGGCGCUAAUAGAUGAGCCCAAGUCGGAUUAGCUAGUUGGAGGGUAACGGCCUACCAAGGCGACAAUCCGUAGCUGGUCUGAGAGGACGACCAGCCACACCGGAACUGAGACACGGUCCGGACUCCUACGGGAGGCAGCAGUGGGGAAUAUUGGACAAUGGGGCAACCCUGAUCCAGCGACGCCGCGUGGGUGAAGAAGGCCUGCGGGUUGUAAAGCCCUUUCGGGUGGGGAAGAAAAGUCUCGACCUAAUACGUCGGGACCUUGACGUAACCCACUAAAGAAGCA
This 470-nucleotide ribosomal RNA is filed under the name uncultured bacterium. RNAcentral's name for it is "bacterial SSU rRNA". It matches the Rfam family "Bacterial small subunit ribosomal RNA", at positions 29 to 492 of the family's 1533-position model. The record is from RNAcentral.